Molecule: transfer RNA, 85 nt
Filed under: Alphaproteobacteria bacterium
Lineage: Bacteria; Pseudomonadati; Pseudomonadota; Alphaproteobacteria
Description: tRNA-Leu
Rfam family: tRNA
About the family: Transfer RNA (tRNA) molecules are approximately 80 nucleotides in length.
Source: RNAcentral
GCGACCAUGGCGGAACUGGUAGACGCGCAGCACUAAGGAUGCUGUGGGGCAACCCUUGGGGGUUCGAUUCCCCCUGGUCGCACCA